Molecule: transfer RNA, 70 nt
Filed under: Herpele squalostoma
Lineage: Eukaryota; Metazoa; Chordata; Amphibia; Gymnophiona; Herpelidae
Description: tRNA-Ala
Source: RNAcentral
GGGGCCUUAGCUUAAAUUAAAGUAUCUAAGUUGCAUUUAGAGGAUAUAGAAUGUUAUUUUAUAGGUCCUA